UGCCUUCGGGAACUCUGAGACAGGUGCUGCAUGGCUGUCGUCAGCUCGUGUUGUGAAAUGUUGGGUUAAGUCCCGCAACGAGCGCAACCCUUAUCCUUUGUUGCCAGCGGUUAGGCCGGGAACUCAAAGGAGACUGCCAGUGAUAAACUGGAGGAAGGUGGGGAUGACGUCAAGUCAUCAUGGCCCUUACGAGUAGGGCUACACACGUGCUACAAUGGCGCAUACAAAGAGAAGCGACCUCGCGAGAGCAAGCGGACCUCAUAAAGUGCGUCGUAGUCCGGAUUGGAGUCUGCAACUCGACUCCAUGAAGUCGGAAUCGCUAGUAAUCGUAGAUCAGAAUGCUACGGUGAAUACGUUCCCGGGUCUUGUACACACCG
RNAcentral lists this ribosomal RNA (377 nucleotides) under Enterobacter asburiae. Its description in RNAcentral is "bacterial SSU rRNA". It matches the Rfam family "Bacterial small subunit ribosomal RNA", at positions 1014 to 1392 of the family's 1533-position model. Lineage: Bacteria; Pseudomonadati; Pseudomonadota; Gammaproteobacteria; Enterobacterales; Enterobacteriaceae. The record is from RNAcentral.